AGUUGGUGAUGUAGGAAAUAUCUGAGAUCAAACUUGAAUCCCUCGCAUACAUCAUAGAGAUUUGCAUCUAGCUUUAUCUUAAAACGUAAGAUCUCACUCCUCAACU
Molecule: non-coding RNA, 106 nt
Organism: Capsicum annuum
Lineage: Eukaryota; Viridiplantae; Streptophyta; Magnoliopsida; Solanales; Solanaceae
Source: Rfam